AACGACGAAGAUUAGAUAGAAUGGAAUCAGAUUCUAAUGGUUUCAGUUUCAAACAUCAAGAGACGAGUAUUUAUAUAAUAAUAUAAUAUAACGAUGAAAAGAAAGGUCGGAUGAUCACAAAAUUCAAUAUAGGGGUAAAAUGAGGAAAGAGGAAAACCUUCUCGAAGAUGGUGAAGACGAUGGCAAGAUUCCGUCGAUAGCGAACCAAAAGAAAAAAUAACGGUCAAUGAGGAUCGCGGCGGAGGCGACGACGGAUGACGGCGACGAUCAGACGAUGUCGCGCGCGCACGUGCGGAGCGGCCGGGGUCGUACGGUCGCUGAGAGAAAAGGGAUCGAGCGGGAGAGAGAGGUGGUCGAAUAAAGGAGAGAAAUGGUGUCGUACGGGAGAGGGAAAAGAUUUUUGAUCGGGUUGGGGGAGGGGUUCAUCCGGAAAUAAAAGAAAAGGAAAAGAAUCUAAUUUAAUUAGGGAUUAAAUAA
This 477-nucleotide long non-coding RNA is filed under the name Ananas comosus (pineapple). RNAcentral's name for it is "long non-coding RNA (ACOM_LNC023167)". Lineage: Eukaryota; Viridiplantae; Streptophyta; Magnoliopsida; Poales; Bromeliaceae. The record is from RNAcentral.